This 151-nucleotide ribosomal RNA is filed under the name uncultured eukaryote. Its description in RNAcentral is "partial small subunit ribosomal RNA". It matches the Rfam family "Eukaryotic small subunit ribosomal RNA", at positions 1651 to 1798 of the family's 1831-position model. The record is from RNAcentral.
CCCUGCCAUUUGUACACACCGCCCGUCGCUCCUACCGAUUGGAUGGUCCGGUGAAACCUUCGGACCUGCACGGGAAUCUCGGGGUUCACCCGUUCCGUGCGGGAAUGUCGGUUAAACCUUAUCAUCUAGAGGAAGGAGAAGUCGUAACAAG